This 464-nucleotide ribosomal RNA is filed under the name Vreelandella stevensii. RNAcentral describes it as "partial 16S ribosomal RNA". It matches the Rfam family "Bacterial small subunit ribosomal RNA", at positions 338 to 795 of the family's 1533-position model. The record is from RNAcentral. Lineage: Bacteria; Pseudomonadati; Pseudomonadota; Gammaproteobacteria; Oceanospirillales; Halomonadaceae.
CCUACGGGAGGCAGCAGUGGGGAAUAUUGGACAAUGGGCGAAAGCCUGAUCCAGCCAUGCCGCGUGUGUGAAGAAGGCCUUCGGGUUGUAAAGCACUUUCAGUGGGGAAGAAAGCCUUGGGGCUAAUACCCUCGAGGAAGGACAUCACCCACAGAAGAAGCACCGGCUAACUCCGUGCCAGCAGCCGCGGUAAUACGGAGGGUGCGAGCGUUAAUCGGAAUUACUGGGCGUAAAGCGCGCGUAGGCGGUCUGAUAAGCCGGUUGUGAAAGCCCCGGGCUCAACCUGGGAACGGCAUCCGGAACUGUCAGGCUAGAGGGCAGGGGAGGAAGGGAGAAAACCCGGGGUAGGGGUGAAAUGCGUAGAGACCGGGAGGAAUACCAGUGGCGAAGGCGGCCUUCUGGACUGACACUGACGCUGAGGUGCGAAAGCGUUGGUAGCAAACAGGAUUAGAUACCCAGUAGUC